UAUUAUUAUUAUUAUUAUUUUAAACAUACCAUCAACAUCAACAUCAUUUUCCAUUGUUUUCAUUUCCUUCUUAUUUUCUUUUCUUUAUUUCCUUCCUUCAUCAAUUCCGCGUUUCCUUUCUGUUUCCGCCACAUUUUUUUCCCUCACAAACUCCUUCCUAAUUUCCGCCACACACUGCACUGUUCCGUUCCUUGCCUACGUUCCCUUCCGUCCGGCGUUUUCUGGGGUUUUCCUUCCUGUGCGGCUGUGUUCGUUCGUCUGUCCGGAAAGUGGAGAGGUUUUCCGGGAAAGUGGAAAGUGAUAACAUUUUGCUAUACAGGUAACUCUCGAUUUACGCGAGUGUUGUGUCCUUGACGAGGUCGCGUAAAUCAAAAACCCUGUAAAUCAAACAAGAGGUCGGUUUGUACCUCUAUUGCCUACCGUAUCGCUCUGACUCCUCUCCCUCUCGUGGUUCCUCCUCUGGCUGCCCUUCCCCUCGUGGUAGCACAGCGGCGAGGGUGUUGUUGUGGUUGUGUAGCGUGGGUACUGUAUUGUUGUUCAAGUGGCGCGCGGGAAGAACUGAGCUCAGCUGUGUGGCCGCGGCGCCGUGUGAGUCCAGUUGCGUGAGACAUCUGGUGACCACUCCACAGCAGCGAGGGUGUUGUGGUUGUUGUGGUUGAGUAGCGUGGUAGCGUGGGUACUGUAUUGUUGUUCAAGUGGCGUGCGGGAAGGACUGAGCUCGGCUGUGUGGCCGCGGCGCCGUGUGAGUCCAGUUCCGUGAGACAUCUGAUGACCACUCCACAGCAGCGAGGGUGUUGUGGUUGUUGUGGUUGAGUAGCGUGGUAGCGUGGGUACUGUAUUGUUGUUCAAGUGGCGCGCGGGAAGGACUGAGCUCAGCUGUGUGGCCGCGGCGCCGUGUGAGUCCAGUUCCGUGAGACAUCUGAUGACCACUCCACAGCAGCGAGGGUGUUGUGGGUGUUGUGGUUGAGUAGCGUGGUAGCGUGGGUACUGUAUUGUUGUUCAAGUGGCGUGCGGGAAGGACUGAGCUCAGCUGUGUGGCCGUGUGAGUCCAGUUCCGUGAGACAUCUGGUGACCACUCCACAGCAGCGAGGGUGUUGUGGUUGUUGUGGUUGAGUAGCGUGGUAGCGUGGGUACUGUAUUGUUGUUCAAGUGGCGCGCGGGAAGGACUGAGCUCAGCUGUGUGGCCGCGGCGCCGUGUGAGUCCAGUUCCGUGAGACAUUUGGUGGCCACUCCGUAAAAUAUCGAGUAUAUGUGAAAAAAACGUGUAAAUUAAACAUUUCUUUGGAUUUUGGACCACGCGGUAUUUCAAAAACGCGUAAACCAAACUUGCGUAAAUCGAGAGUUACCUGUAUAUAUAUUUACAAAGACGUUAAGUUUAUAGAAUACAUAUAUAUAGAUUUAUGUAUAUAUAAAGUUAAUUUCAAUAUGUCUUUUCAGAAAUGGCUUAUUUUGGCUAUAUUUACAAAACGGUAAUAUAUAGUUUAGAAUCACCAUUUGCAAAACCACUAUUACUUCCAAUACUACAGUCACUACUACUACUACUACUACUACUACUACUACUACUACUACUACUAAUGCAUUUUUAUAUAUAUUUCAAUGUUAGUUAUAAGGGAUAUUUUUUACCUAAUAUUCCCUUUCUCUAGAAUAGCACCCACUCUCUCUUAAGUGUCAAUACUACUUAUAAAUACGGCAAUACUUAUGUGUAUACUACUUCAGACGUUAAGUAUCAUAUGUAUUACUACUAUUAAGACCCCCCCCCUGCCCCCCCUGCCCCCCCCCUGUUUGAGAAUGAAAAAAAAAAGCCCAGUUAGGACGGAUUUUAAUGUUCGGUGUUUUUUUAAUGUUUUAAUUUGGUGUGGUUUUUUUUUGCUAAUGUUCUGGUGUGUGUGUGUGUGUGUGUGUGUGUGUGUGUGUGUGUGUGUGUGUGCGCGUCCUUACCUCUCUCCCUCCCUCUGUGUAUGUAAACUGUGUCUGUCUGUCUCUAUGUGCGUUUAAUCUCUCUACAUGUGUACGUAUGUGUGUGUACGUAUAUGUGUGUUUAUCUGUGUUAUGUGUACCUUCUAAUCCGUGUUUCCGUGUACGUUUAUAUGUGCGUGUCUGCGUGUGUGUGUGCGUUUCCUCUCAUGUGCGUAUUUUCCAUAGUUAUCAGCCCCCUCCCCUA
Molecule: long non-coding RNA, 2161 nt
Organism: Eriocheir sinensis (Chinese mitten crab)
Lineage: Eukaryota; Metazoa; Arthropoda; Malacostraca; Decapoda; Varunidae
Exons: 3
Source: RefSeq, a predicted model, not a curated record